This 1345-nucleotide long non-coding RNA is filed under the name Cairina moschata (Muscovy duck). Its description in RNAcentral is "domestica (muscovy Duck (domestic type)) lncRNA (ENSCMMG00000008299.1)". The record is from RNAcentral. Lineage: Eukaryota; Metazoa; Chordata; Aves; Anseriformes; Anatidae.
GCACAGGGGGCCCAGUGCAUGGGGCAUUCUCUAGGGCUCACUGGCCUUGCACACCACAACCCUCUCCUGCCUGUGUGAGGGUGUCUCCCCUGGCCUCAAGCUAACCUCACAGUAAUAAGUAGACCAUAACCCUGAACCUUGAUCCAACAGCUUCACAUGGCUGACAACAGGGGGACAUGGCACAUCACCUGUGGGCAAUACUCUGCAGCGUGAAUCUGGAUGAGAGACAGAGCUAGAUUUCUGAUUGACUUAAUGUCUGCAACCCAUGUAAGUCUGGAGCACAAGUCCUGUGAGGAGCAGCUGAGGGAACUGGAGGAGUUGUUUAGUCUGGAGAAGAGGAGGCUCGGGGAGACCGUAUUACGCUCUACAACUGCCUGAAAGGAAGGUGUGGGGAGCUGGGAGUCGGCCUCUUCUCACAGGGGAGCUGUGGCCAGACUGCAUCAGGGACGGUCACCAGUACGUCUUGCCCCAGUAUGCUUCGUAUGGGCGCAGUCUGGAAGAGAGCUUGUGGGCCAGCAGGAAGGCAGAGAAUGCUAACGGAGAGUUGAAAAGACACGAGCCAGUGAUUUCUUUGUUGCUGCUGUACCAGUACAUUUUAAACACUCUUCUGUACCAAGCAACACCCCCCUGCACCCCAAACCCCAGCAAAAACAAAGACAGCCUCUUUUUUUAUUUCUUCCAAAGAAGGAAUCUGCUCAGUUCAGUUAAGUACAUUGACCUUUGGUUACAUAUAGUAACGCUGUAAACAGUGGGCCCAGCUCACAGACAAAUAACGUGAACUCACUCACUUUAAGAGAGUUAAGUUCAAGAGAAAGUUGUUUUCAAAAAAAAAAAAAAAAAAAAUCUAUGUUGCCUAUCAUUCUGCAGCAUGAAACACAGUAAUUGCUCAGUUUUGGACGUUUUAAACUAGAAUAUUAGCUUUCAAAUUGAAUCAGGACGGGUCAUCUGCUUUCCUAACAAGUGCGGAUGAGUUACAUUUUCAAAGGUAUCAAAAUGUACUGUCAUACUGGUUUGCAUCAGUCAAUAGCCCCAUGUCCUCGGUGACUUUUUAAGUAAGUAAACGUUAAUUACACAGGUAUUGCUAUGAACCAAGCCCAUUGUUUAAAGGAAGCACAAUUCUUGCCAAGUUAAAAGUCUUUACAUAAGAACGUGGUUUUGUAAUGGAUUUGAAGAGCUGCUGUGUGAGUUAUUAAAAUUGUGUCUUCCUGCUUGCACUGUGUACCAAUGCAGAAAAUGGACAAACAUGCAGUAAAAUGUAGCAUCAUUUAGAAAAUAAUAUGUAAAAAAAAUUCAGUAUCUUAUAUUAAAGCAUUUACACUGCAUAGGCAUUCAUAUAAGGAUAUAG